Molecule: long non-coding RNA, 2181 nt
Filed under: Canis lupus familiaris (dog)
Lineage: Eukaryota; Metazoa; Chordata; Mammalia; Carnivora; Canidae
Description: lncRNA (ENSCAFG00845026538.1)
Source: RNAcentral
GUUUUCGGGUCAUAUGAUUUCUGUCUAAACCACUCAGUUCUGCACGGGGAGCCAGAGACAGCAUGUGAACGCCGGGCCUGGCCCGGUUCGCUAACGCUUGACAACACGGAGGGCAGGCUGGGCUUGGCUCCGAGGCUAGAGCUGCGGACCCCUGAUCUAGAGCUGCUGACCCCCGACCUACAGCCGCGGACCCCCGAUCUAGAGCCGCUGACCCGGAGCUGGAGCCGCUGACCCCUGAGCUGGAGCCGCUGACCCCUGAGCUGGAGCCGCUGACCCCGGAUCCAGAGCGGCUCCAGUUUCUGUGUUUGUGUUCAUCUGCUUCUGUGGUCCGGGCUUCCUCUUUGCUGCUUCUGUCUUAUAAGAAUUUCCCCUAUUUUCUUGUGAGUUUAAUAAAACAUUUGAAAGUGUCCUUUAGCGAUCUAUGCAGAUCUAGGUGUUUUGGGGUGGCAGAGGGUUUUCUUAUACCUACUUCUCCAUCCUGUUGGAAAUAUAAAUCUGACAUUUUUUUUCCUGUCUCAUUAAUGUCAACCUUCUAUGUCAUUAAGUUUCAGAAGUUCUCCCAUAUAUGGAAUAUAGCUGGAUUUGGCUUUACUUCUCAGUCUCAUGGACCAAGGAGUUCAUUCGUACUUCCUGGAAGGAUUGGGCUGCACAGUUCUGAUAUCUGGCCAUGAAAUCCAAGCUGCUGUUGGGAAGUUGGAGAUUAGAGGCUGAGGCCGUUGCUGGCAUUCCAUCGGAAUACAUGGGGCAAGCUGAUCUGGUCAAGAUGUGUCAUGUGGAUCACAGGAGCUAGAAGAGCAGGUAAUAUCACUACUGAAUAAGUGGGUUUAUCUUUUGUGUAGAAACCAGACAAAUAUUCCAAUCUCCAUAGCAUAUGUGCUUUGUGUUAUUUUCCGUUACAUAGAUGCAAACUGCUGAACCCUCUAGCCUUCCGUAUAAUUCAUAUUUCUGGAGACUCCAGCAAGCCUCUAUCUAAAUAAGUUAGCUGGGAUCAUUUUAAGCACUCUCCCUUCCCUUUUUUAAGGCUUGGGGAAGCUUAGUGUUCAGGACAAGAAAAGGAGAGAUCUUUGCCAUCCUAGACACACAAAGCUCCAGCUCUCUAUCCUAUUGCCAGUUCUUAGAGCAGGAGCUUCUUACUUGAGGGUAUUACUGGAGAGCUAGCCAUUACUCUUGAGAUGACAUUUUACUCUGUCAUGCAAUAUUUGAGUUUGCCUGCUGCAGCCCUUGCUGAAGAGUAAAUAGAGAAGAGGUAUGAUUGCAGACAUCAGGAAAUACCCAUAAGUGUGAUCCCUGACCCUUAUGAAAUUUGAUCAGGAAAAUAUGAAAUGAAAUGCAUAAACCUAAGAACCAGCUCUGUGAAGGAGCAAAUUUGUUAAAAUUUAGUUUCUAAAGACUAGGAAUAAAAUUUUUAAGAUAAAUAUGAAACCAGGGGAGAAGAACAAACAUAUUUUUCUAAAAAAGAAACUGUUUUGAAAAGUCACCCUGGGGAAUCCCUGGGUAGCUCAGCAGUUUAGUGCCUGCCUUCGGCCCAGGGCGUGAUCCUGGAGUCUCGGGAUUGAGUCCCACGUCGGGCUCCCUGCAUGGAGCCUGCUUCUCCCUCUGCCUGUGUCUCUGCCUCUCUCUCUCCUCUGUGUAUUUCAUGAAUAAAUAAAUAAAAUCUUUAAAAAAAGAAAAGUCAUCAUGAAGGUAGUGUCUUUGGGUUUUUUCCAUCAAGAAAAACCAGAGAGAAAAAUUGGGUCCUCUGCAAAUUCUUUUAUUGUCAGUUUCACAAGAAAUAUUUGAUUUCAGGGAACGUGGUUAUGCACACUGAAAUCCGUGUUAACUGCCUUGAAUAGAUAGCAAUGUGGUCAUUUCUAUCUUCAUAUGCAUCAUUUUAUUUUUUGUAAGUAAGCUCUAUGCCAACCUUGGGGCUUGAACUCAUGACCUCAAGAUCAAGAGUCACAUGCUCACUAGCUAAGCCAGCCAGGUGCCCUUCCUCUGCAUCAUUUUAGAUCGUUAUACAUUUCAGUAUACAUGGGAUUAGGUGUGCCUACCUUAACAAGCUUGGAAGACAUGGAGAUAAGUUGGGUAUGAAUGUAACAUUUGUGGGUUUUUUUUUACCUCCCCACUAAUUCAGACUUCUUAAUAAGAUCUGGAUUUCGGAAGGAGAAAUGGACUGUAAUGAUAAUAGAUGCUAUCUUUUUU